RNAcentral lists this ribosomal RNA (368 nucleotides) under Acanthoscelides anoditus. RNAcentral's name for it is "partial 12S small subunit ribosomal RNA". Lineage: Eukaryota; Metazoa; Arthropoda; Insecta; Coleoptera; Chrysomelidae. The record is from RNAcentral.
AUUAGAUACCCUAUUAUUAGAAAUGUAAAUUUAUUAUACUCAAUUAGUAUUAGUUAUGUUCUUAAAAAUUAAAAAAUUUGGCGGUAUUUUAGUCUUUUCAGAGGAACCUGUUCUGUAAUUGAUAGUCCACGAUUAAAUGUACUUUAUUUUUUAGUUUACAUAUCGUUGUAGUUAGAAUAUUUUAAUAGAAUAUAAAUAUUCAAGAUUUUUUAUUAAAAAAUAAAUCAAAUCAAGGUGUAGUUUAUAAUAAAGUAGUAAUGGGUUACAAUAAAUUUAUUUUAGGAUAAUUUUUAGUAUAGAAAUUUGAAUUUGGAUUUGAAAGUAAUUUUUAUAUAUUUUUAAUAUGAUUAUAGCUCUAAAAUAUGCAC